This is a long non-coding RNA of Danaus plexippus (monarch butterfly), 707 nucleotides long. RefSeq lists it as uncharacterized. The transcript is spliced from 2 exons. NCBI's taxonomy places the organism in Eukaryota, Metazoa, Arthropoda, Insecta, Lepidoptera, Nymphalidae. The record is from RefSeq and is a predicted model, not a curated record.
AGAACCUUUCUAAGGUUGCAUCGUCGAAUUUGUUUAUUAUAACUUCAGUGUUGCCGCAAACAUAAGUUCCGCCAACCCUGGGUAUAUAUUAUCGACCUUCUUUAGCACAGAAUCAUUGGAAAAAAAAUAAUAUGAGAGUUAUAGUUCCAGCGUAAGCUGUAAUUAAACCAGUGACGCCGUAAUAUAGGUACGUGUGCUGUUUUUAUUGCGUAACAAGAGUAAGGACUAAGGUUAUAUGUUCUAAGACAUAAUUGGUAAUUUCAUGGCCAUAUAAAAACAAAUAAGAAUAUAAUUAUAUCAUACAUUCGACUUUUGUUCAGUAUGAGCAUAGCUAAUCACUUCUAAUAUUAAACAUUUUUGUGAUAAAGCAAGAAGUUGAAGGUGAGUUGGUUUAUAUAAAAACUUGUUUUUACUACUUUAGCUUCUAUUCUUAAGUCAUCAAAAAAUAUUUUAAACGUCAUUAUUAUUAUUAUUAUUCAACACAGACGACUGAAAUGUCAUUAUUUGACAUUACGCUUACAACUUUUUAACAAUCAGUGAGGGAACAAAGAUAAUCCAGCUAUCCAGCAGACACGACACUGGCAGAAUAUACUGUGCACGUCUAUGCACGGAUGAAGACCAUAAUAUAAAAAAAAUCAAACAGUGAGAAUAUUGACCCGAAAUUGUCAAAUAAGCAUAUUUAUAAAAAAAUAAACCCUCUCUUAUUA